Molecule: ribosomal RNA, 793 nt
Filed under: uncultured Methanosarcinales archaeon
Lineage: Archaea; Methanobacteriati; Methanobacteriota; Methanomicrobia; Methanosarcinales
Description: bacterial SSU rRNA
Rfam family: Archaeal small subunit ribosomal RNA
Source: RNAcentral
ACKGCUCAGUAACACGUGGAUAACCUACCCUUAGGACGGGGAUAAACCCGGGAAACUGGGUAUAAUACCCGAUAGUCCUCGGCUGCUGGAAUGCACCGAGAACGAAAGCUCCGGCGCCUAAGGAUGGAUCUGCGGCCUAUCAGGUAGUAGUGGGUGUAGCGUACCUACUAGCCUACGACGGGUACGGGUUGUGAGAGCAAGAGCCCGGAGAUGGAUUCUGAGACACGAACCCAGGCCCUACGGGGUGCAGCAGGCGCGAAAACUUUACAAUGCCGGCAACGGCGAUAAGGGGACCUCGAGUGCCAGGUUACAAAUCUGGCUGUCGUGAUGCCUAAAAAGCAUUGCAUAGCAAGGGCCGGGCAAGACCGGUGCCAGCCGCCGCGGUAACACCGGCGGCUCGAGUGGUAACCGUUAUUAUUGGGUCUAAAGGGUCUGUAGCCGGCCGGAUAAGUCUCUUGAGAAAUCCAGCAGCUCAACUGUUGGGCUUUCAGGGGAUACUGUCUGGCUCGAGGCCGGGAGAGGUGAGAGGUACUUCAGGGGUAGGGGUGAAAUCUUGUAAUCCUUGAAGGACCACCAGUGGCGAAGGCGUCUCACCAGAACGGACCUGACGGCAAGGGACGAAAGCUAGGGGCACGAACCGGAUUAGAUACCCGGGUAGUCCCAGCUGUAAACGAUGCAGGCUAGGUGUUUGGGCGGCCACGUGCCGCUCUAGUGCCGCAGGGAAGCUGUUAAGCCUGCCGCCUGGGGAGUACGGCCGCAAGGCUGAAACUUAAAGGAAUUGGCGGGGGAGCAC